CAGCCGCGUAAUUCCAGCUCCAAUAGCGUAUAUUAAAGUUGUUGCAGUUAAAAAGCUCGUAGUUGAAUUUCGGGAUUGACGUGAUGGUCGUGCCUUAAGGGGUAUGAACUGUCGCUGUUGAUUUCUCACCUUCUGGAGAAACUUGAUGUCCUUAAUUGGGUGUCUUGCGGAUCCAGGACCUUUACCUUGAAAAAAUUAGAGUGUUUAAAGCAGGCAUUUUUGCUCGAAUACAUUAGCAUGGAAUAAUAGAAUAGGACGGCAUGGUUCUAUUUUGUUGGUUUCUAGGAUCACCGUAAUGAUUAAUAGGGAUAGUUGGGGGCAUUAGUAUUCAAUUGUCAGAGGUGAAAUUCUUGGAUUUAUUGAAGACUAACUACUGCGAAAGCAUUUGCCAAGGAUGUUUUCAUUAAUCAAGAACGAAAGUUAGGGGAUCGAAGACGAUCAGAUACCGUCGUAGUCUUAACCAUAAACUAUGCCGACUAGGAAUCAGACGAUGUUAAUUUUUUAAUGACUCGUUUGGCACCUUACG
Molecule: unclassified non-coding RNA, 526 nt
Filed under: uncultured Glomeromycotina
Lineage: Eukaryota; Fungi; Glomeromycota
Description: SSU rRNA
Rfam family: Eukaryotic small subunit ribosomal RNA
Source: RNAcentral